RNAcentral lists this long non-coding RNA (869 nucleotides) under Homo sapiens (human). Its description in RNAcentral is "long non-coding RNA NONHSAT159371.1". The record is from RNAcentral. Lineage: Eukaryota; Metazoa; Chordata; Mammalia; Primates; Hominidae.
GGAAGGCAUAAUUUGUUUUGAAAUGAGAUUUGGCAAGGGCCAGGGGCAGAAUGAUAUGCUUUGGUUGUGUACCCACCCAAAUCUCAUCUUGAAUUCCCACAUGUUGUGGGAGGGUCCUGGUGGGAAGUAAUUGAGUCAUGGGUGUAGGUCUUUCCCAUGUUGUUCUUGUGAAAGUGAAUACGUCUCACAAGGUCUGAUGGUUUUAAAAAGGGUAGUUUCCCUGCAGAAGCUCUCUCUUUGCCUGCUGCCAUCCAGAUCCUUCUUAGAAAUUCCUAAGGCUCAAUGCUGUGUGGAAGAUUCUGAGAAAGAAAAUAGUUUCCGAUCUUUGGGAUUCCCGAGAUGGUCCAAUCUGCAAAAAGUUCAUUGCCAUUUCCAUCAAGGACACUGAGAACAAGAGUCUUAUCCGGAUUGGAUCCUGGGAAUUGAGAAGCUUCAGCAGGGCUUCCGCUGGGACUAGGAUCAGGAUGUGGACACCCCCAACCUGGACCGUCUGGCCGGGGAGGGCGUCAAGGCCAAGUACCUCAUGCCGCCCCUUGUCACAAUGACCUCCCCGUCCCACCUCACUGCCAUCCCAGAUCCUCGGUGGAGCUUACAUGCCUGGGCGAGCACCAGCCUUUGUUUAAAGGCAACAGAGAAUUGUGGCCUGGCUCAGAUCUCCAGCAAGCCUCCAGAAUGAUGGUCCACUCUCUGAACCCAGGGCCAAGGCAGCAGGAGCUUUUGGUGCACAUGGGGGCUUACCCCACUUUGAGUCCCAGCUACUCAGGAGGCUGAAGCAGGAGGGUCGCUUGAGUCCAGAAGAUCAAGUCUGUGGCGAGAAGUGAUUGCACCACUGCACUCCAGCCUGGACAACAGAGCAAGCCCUGUCUCAA